UGGGGAAUAUUGCACAAUGGGCGCAAGCCUGAUGCAGCCAUGCCGCGUGUGUGAAGAAGGCCUUCGGGUUGUAAAGCACUUUCAGCGGGGAGGAAGUCGGUGAGGUUAAUAACCUCAUCGAUUGACGUUACCCGCAGAAGAAGCACCGGCUAACUCCGUGCCAGCAGCCGCGGUAAUACGGAGGGUGCAAGCGUUAAUCGGAAUUACUGGGCGUAAAGCGCACGCAGGCGGUUUGUUAAGUCAGAUGUGAAAUCCCCGGGCUCAACCUGGGAACUGCAUCUGAUACUGGCAAGCUUGAGUCUCGUAGAGGGGGGUAGAAUUCCAGGUGUAGCGGUGAAAUGCGUAGAGAUCUGGAGGAAUACCGGUGGCGAAGGCGGCCCCCUGGACGAAGACUGACGCUCAGGUGCGAAAGCGUGGGGAGCAAACAGG
RNAcentral lists this ribosomal RNA (429 nucleotides) under Chloroflexota bacterium. Its description in RNAcentral is "Chloroflexi bacterium partial 16S ribosomal RNA". It matches the Rfam family "Bacterial small subunit ribosomal RNA", at positions 355 to 776 of the family's 1533-position model. The record is from RNAcentral. Lineage: Bacteria; Bacillati; Chloroflexota.